Gasterosteus aculeatus aculeatus (three-spined stickleback) is the source of this 1528-nucleotide non-coding RNA. The record is from RefSeq and is a predicted model, not a curated record. Lineage: Eukaryota; Metazoa; Chordata; Actinopteri; Perciformes; Gasterosteidae.
GCUAACCGAAAUGCCAAAAGAAAAAGAAAAAGUGUUAGGUAUUAGUAUGUGAUCAUUUUAUGCAAAUUAUGUUAUCUACAUAUCAAAACCAUGAGUGGGUUCCAUCAACAAAACCAAAAAACAUGCAAGGGGAGUUUACUCUCUCAAAAACUAAAAAAUAAACACGAGUGCUUCAUGGGAAACAUUCUGUCGAGACUUAUAAUGUACAUAAACCAGUCCGUCUUCUGGGGAUCUUGAAUAAAAUACAUUUGGUUGAGGAUGUCGGUGCAGUCUUUUAUUCAACAAGACAGAGUCACAGUGUCCUCGCAUGGAGGCGAGGUACGGCUGAACAAAGUCCUUUGGAUAGCUUACUUAUUGGACACAAAUACAUCAUGCCACUGAACACUGGAGCCUGCUGAAAGCUCGUAGUUUAUUUUCUCUAUAGUGUCCUUCGUGAAACGCCGAGCGGUGUGUUUUAAGUGUGUGGCUGCAGCUGUCUGGGAAGGGCAGCGCUUCCCCAUGUGGAGACAGCAGGGGAGUCCACUUCUGAGGAACCUUAAUGAAGGAUUUGAGCAAAAUUCCCCUGCAGUCAAACCCUAAAAUCAUAUUCACUUGGACAGCAGCAGUGGCAAGAAGCAGUUAUUCUGAGUGCUUCUAGAUCCGACUGAUGGGAUUUCUUCAGAACCAAAACCUGACUCAGCCAGAGGUCACCCGCUGGGAGUCAACACCCCACCGCUCUUCAGCUGGUACUGUAACAUUGCAAGGAACAGUUUACUUACAUAUCUUAGUAAAGUAUCUCUCCAUGGAAAAUUGUUUAUUUAUUUUUUGUAAUGCGUAUGUAUGUGCCAACAUGCUUAUAGGAAUAUACUGUAGUAUGAGGGUCACAUAAAUUAAACAAAUCCCUUUUCAUUUAGAGCUCUUCACUCCAAUACCUUUAAACUCCUGUACAUAUUUUAAAUUGUGUGUAACCACUUGUCACGGUUUAAAUAUUGCCUUGACAGUCACCUCGUUGAGGUUCAAAUCUAUUUUGGAAGAAUUUCCUUCUGAAUCUGUUUAUUCUUCAACAGAGUGAUUGUUUUCUUGCCCUUUUGUGUCCCUCAGACACCUCGUGCCUCCACACAGACAGGUAUAAACAGGCCCGUUAUCUGCUAUGCACUGAUGCUGAUGCUGCUGCUUCAUCACCGGCCCGGUUUGCAGCAGCAGGGGAGUGUGAGCCCAUCACGGACUCUCUGCUCACACCUCCCAUACCCUGGGACCUUGUUCAGCGCUGACAGCUUCCUAAUCCUCUUGUGGAUACCCAAAUGCCUUCGUGAUGAAUGCAGCAUUUGCAUCCUUUUGAAAUAAUGUAUAUUUUACAUGCAAUGUAAUACCAUAUGUCACUUUUAAAAUGUAGCGAUAAUACUUUUUUCUUUACAGAUCUGUGAUGUAUUGUUGUUAUUAUUUCAAUAAUUUAAUAAAAAACGAGUUAAAGCCGCACUAAUCAAUAUCUUUAUUUGAGUAAUGGGUCACAUGUGAAGGUGUUAAUCCUACCGGCAAAAAAAACAAAAAA